GCACCCAUAGCUCAGCUGGAUAGAGCGCUGCCCUCCGAAGGCAGAGGUCAGAGGUUCGAAUCCUCUUGGGUGCG
This is a transfer RNA of Maricaulis maris MCS10, 74 nucleotides long. It matches the Rfam family "tRNA". From Rfam's summary of the family: Transfer RNA (tRNA) molecules are approximately 80 nucleotides in length. Their secondary structure includes four short double-helical elements and three loops (D, anti-codon, and T loops). The record is from Rfam. NCBI's taxonomy places the organism in Bacteria, Pseudomonadati, Pseudomonadota, Alphaproteobacteria, Maricaulales, Maricaulaceae.